This 465-nucleotide ribosomal RNA is filed under the name Vreelandella stevensii. Its description in RNAcentral is "partial 16S ribosomal RNA". It matches the Rfam family "Bacterial small subunit ribosomal RNA", at positions 338 to 795 of the family's 1533-position model. The record is from RNAcentral. Lineage: Bacteria; Pseudomonadati; Pseudomonadota; Gammaproteobacteria; Oceanospirillales; Halomonadaceae.
CCUACGGGAGGCAGCAGUGGGGAAUAUUGGACAAUGGGGGCAACCCUGAUCCAGCCAUGCCGCGUGUGUGAAGAAAGCCCUCGGGUUGUAAAGCACUUUCAGUGAGGAAGAACGCCUGGUGGUUAAUACCCAUCAGGAAAGACAUCACUCACAGAAGAAGCACCGGCUAACUCCGUGCCAGCAGCCGCGGUAAUACGGAGGGUGCGAGCGUUAAUCGGAAUUACUGGGCGUAAAGCGCGCGUAGGUGGCUUGAUAAGCCGGUUGUGAAAGCCCCGGGCUCAACCUGGGAACGGCAUCCGGAACUGUCAAGCUAGAGUGCAGGAGAGGAAGGUAGAAUUCCCGGUGUAGCGGUGAAAUGCGUAGAGAUCGGGAGGAAUACCAGUGGCGAAGGCGGCCUUCUGGACUGACACUGACACUGAGGUGCGAAAGCGUGGGUAGCAAACAGGAUUAGAUACCCGAGUAGUC